GUUUUCUGCAUACUUGCUUCUCUCUCGGUAUGAUUUGUAGAAAUUUAUUUAAGAGGGCAUGCCAAAAGACAAAAACAAAAAAUAAAAAGUUGAGAUGGAUGGGCACAAUGAGAUUAUUCUGUCUGCAGACUUGUUUUUCAUAAAUGAAAGUACUAAAAAAUACCAUCAGUUCUCAUUAUUGUUGGUAGUUAUGUUAUAUAAAGUCUCUGUAAACACCAAAUUAGCAGAUUCUUAACUAUUGCUCUUAAGGGAAAUAUAGGGGUAGGUUUCUGUGAGCCUCUGGUCACAUUUUCACCAACUGAUCAAUACAUAAGCUUGUUUUAUGUGUAUUUCUAUUUAAAGACACUUUAUUUAAUAUAUAACAUUGAUUCAUUAACAUUGAGCUCAUGGCCAACAGCACUAUAACUCAUGACUUGAACAAAACUCAUCUAACCUACAUAUUUUCUCCAUAAAGCACAUCACAGCAUUCUUUUGCUUAGGAACACUAGACAGCACUUCAGCACUAUGUUUCAGGGUCAAUUUAAAUACUAAAAUCACCAAGAAAAAUGCAAACAACCAAAAAUGCAAACAACAUGGCAUUAAAUAGACCAUGAAAAGGACACUUGUUUAUAGUCAGAGCUGAGACAAGAAGGCAGAGCAUUGCCCUGCCUGCCCUUAACUGGAAAUGUGCAUGUUGAGUGAGUAAAAUUAUUUGUCACACUGCACAUGCACUUCUGCAAAUGACCGUGAGAGUGCUGCAAGUAUUGAUUUUGGGAUUACAAAUCAAUUCUUAAAGUAGGUAAAUUUGCAAAUACAGAAUCCACAAAUAAUGAGCCAUUUGAAAUGAUAAAAAUGAUAAAAAUGUAUUGAAACAGUGCUGCUCUUAGAAAGAACUUGGUGCUCUUGCUUGACUAAUUAUUAUUUUACUAUUCCUCUUGUGUUCAAGUCAGAAGAGGUAAACCUUAGGAUCUUCUCUGUAUUAUUAGAGAAUCGGGCAGCAUAGAGAAUAGGGCAUUUCUAUGUACAGUGCUUAAAUAUUUUCUACUGAUGGGAAAAUACCUUAUGAUCAAAGGAGGCUGGGAUAAUUAUUUUAUGCUAUUUUAUAACCAGAGCAUGCUUUGACUCACAACAGGCAUUAGUUUCUUCACCAGUCUCUGAAACCUCCGUAAGAGAAGUUUAACAGGUAUAAACAGUGAUUAACCACUCUUUCGUUUGCGUUAAACAAACAAUGUAAUUGAACAGAGUACAUAACCCUUCACUUGCUCUUAGCAAACUUCCAGAGGUUCAGAACUGCCUGGACCAUGGCAAUUCAUGGGAGACGGUUUUAGUGAUUGUUUUCUUUUUCUUUCUCUUUUUCUCACUAUAUUUCAGCAUAGCAUUAUAAAAUAUCGUGUUGAUAAAUGCUUUGUUUUAUAUUUAUUACCAACAGUAACUAUAACCUUUCUUUUGAAACAGACCUUCAACAAGCUUGUGGGAAAGUUUAGCCAGUCCAUCUUUCACUUGAAUUUAACACAAAUACUCUCAGCCACAAUGGAAGGGAAGCUGGUUGUCUGGGACAUACACCGCCCACCCUCAUCUGCCUCCACCUUUUUGGGCUUUCCCUAUAUCAAGCCUUGUAAAUUGGUUCAUUUGCAGAAAGAGGGUAUCACGGUACUUACCACAAUUGAUAGCUACAUUGUCACAGGUGACAUUAAGGGGAACAUUAAGUUCUAUGAUCACACCCUGUCUAUUGUUAACUGGUACAGUCACUUGAAACUGGGCGCCAUAAGAACUCUGUCCUUUUCAAAGACCCCAGCAACUCCUCCUACUGAAAAAUCAAACUAUCCUCCUGACUGCACUUUAAAAGGUGACCUUUUUGUCUUAAGGAAUUUUAUCAUUGGAACAUCUGAUGCCGCGGUGUACCACUUAACAACAGAUGGGACCAAACUUGAGAAGUUAUUUGUAGAGCCCAAGGAUGCCAUUUGUGCCAUCUCCUGCCACCCAUAUCAACCCCUCAUUGCCAUCGGGAGCAUCUGUGGGAUGAUCAAAGUGUGGAAUUAUGAAAACAAACAAUAUCUUUUCAGCAGGGUUUUUGAGAAGGGGCUUGGAGUCCAGAGCCUGACCUACAACCCGGAAGGAGCCCUUCUUGGAGCUGGCUUUACAGAGGGGACAGUUUACGUUCUUGAUGCAAUGUCUUUAGAAAAUGAAAGCCCAGAGCCUUUCAAAUAUUCCAGAACCAGUGUGACUCAUAUAAGCUUUUCCCAUGACUCCCAGUAUAUGGCAACUGCUGUAAGUAUUUUCAUGGACAACCCAUCCAGUGGCUUAGCAAUUUUAUUUGAAACCAAAAGAGGCCAGUCAUAGUAGCUAACACCUGUAAUCCCAAUGAUUUGGGAGGCCGAGGUGGGAGGAUCAUUGGAGGACAGGAAUUCAAGACCAGCCUAGGAAACACAGCAGGACCCCACUGCUACAAAAACAUUUUUUAAAAAUUAGCCAGGCCUUGUGGCACACAUCUGUAGCCCCAGUUAUCCAGGAGGCUGAGGCGGGAGGACCCCUGCGGGCCAGGAGUUUGAGGUUACAGUGAGCUAUAAGGCAGGUAUGUUGGUCUGCCUUUAUGUUGGGAGGGAAAAGCAGUGGUCUUCGCUAAACUCCUGUCCCUUCAGGCGCUCUCCAUCCCCACACUGGUGCGGCCACUCCUCCGGUUUGUGUACACAACGCUUCUGAAGCCAAAGCCGUCUCAGCAUACUGUGGGUGCACACAGUCCAGCCUCUGUGUCCCCUCAGGCCAGGCUCUCCCACUCCAACUGGGUUCACUUGCAGCCUUCAUACCUUUCAAAAACACAUAGCUUUUUUAUUGUAUGUAGCUGGACAAAGAAAAGGAAGGACAAAGGCACAAAGAGUCAGGCUUUUGGCUUUCCACAGACAGCGAGGGGGCACC
Molecule: small RNA, 2892 nt
Filed under: Pan troglodytes (chimpanzee)
Lineage: Eukaryota; Metazoa; Chordata; Mammalia; Primates; Hominidae
Description: retained intron
Source: RNAcentral